AACGUACGCUGGCGGCACGCCUUACACAUGCAAGUCGAACGAAGUAGCAAUACUUAGUGGCAGACGGGUGAGUAACAUGUAGGUAUCUACCCUUUGGCCUGGAAUAACACGAGGAAACUUGUGCUAAUACCAGAUAAGUCUUUACGGAGAAAGCUUUAUGCACCAUUGGAUGAGCCUGCACUUGAUUAGUUUGUUGGUGGGGUAAUGGCCUACCAAGACUGUGAUCAAUAGCUGAUUUGAGAGGAUGAUCAGCCACAUUGGGACUGAGACACGGCCCAAACUCCUACGGGAGGCAGCAGUGGGGAAUCUUGCACAAUGGAGGAAACUCUGAUGCAGCGAUGCCGCGUGAGUGAAGAAGGCCCUUGGGUUGUAAAGCUCUUUCGUCGGGGAAGAAAAUGACUGUACCCGAAUAAGAAGGUCCGGCUAACUUCGUG
RNAcentral lists this ribosomal RNA (434 nucleotides) under uncultured bacterium. RNAcentral's name for it is "bacterial SSU rRNA". It matches the Rfam family "Bacterial small subunit ribosomal RNA", at positions 29 to 507 of the family's 1533-position model. The record is from RNAcentral.